AAACUCGUUCCAUAGUUGACUCCAAUUUGAAUGAAUGUCCGUGCCAAAAGUAGUUGUUUUAUCCAGACAAUCUGCAACACUAUUUGCAUUCCUCUGAAUUAAAAAAAUAGAGAUUCUCCAAUUCCAAUUCAUAACCUCCUGUGCUUUGCCAAAUUCUAUUCCGAAAUAUCCUUACUAAGCAUUCUUUAGUUUAUUAAGAAAAGAGCUUCUAAACGGUCUGUUUCACAAAUAACCUCACGAAAUCCGCUAUCCCAAGUUAGAAGUAAACCACUCCAAAUCGGACUAUUUUUUUUCCUAAUAUAUAUACCUUUAAUUUCUCACUUCUUCGAGUUGCACACACAAAAGAAAAUAUUGAAAAGAGAAAUUAUUCACAUACAUUGCACUUUUUUAAAAAAACAUGGCUAAAUUAUCGUUGGCAAACGUUUUCUUACUUAUACUUUUGGUUUCAGUUGUCGCAAGGACAAAAAAAGUGGGCGGAAGAGUGAAAUGUCAAGCAGGUUGGUCAAGCAUAGAUUGCGAAAAAAAUUCUAACGAUAAUUAUUGUAAUAGGGAAUGCAAAAACAAAAAGGGUUUACAGGCAUAUGGACAAUGCCGAAACUCCCUUUGUGUAUGCACCUUCAAAUGUCCUACUAAAUACUAAUUAAUUACUUAAUAUAAUCAUGAUUAGAAUUUCCAUAAUCGUCAUGAGAAAGAUUAUUAUAAAGUAUUAUUGUAAUAUUCAAGAGACAAAAAAAAAUUAUCAAACAUCCCAUUACGAAGACA
Molecule: non-coding RNA, 762 nt
Organism: Arachis ipaensis
Lineage: Eukaryota; Viridiplantae; Streptophyta; Magnoliopsida; Fabales; Fabaceae
Source: RefSeq, a predicted model, not a curated record